ACGGAGGGUGCAAGCGUUAUCCGGAUUCGCUGGGUUUAAAGGGUGCGUAGGCGGACAGGUAAGUCAGUGGUGAAAUCUCUGAGCUUAACUCAGAAACUGCCGUUGAUACUAUUUGUCUUGAAUAUCAUGGAGGUAAGCGGAAUAUGUCAUGUAGCGGUGAAAUGCUUAGAUAUGACAUAGAACACCGAUAGCGAAGGCAGCUUACUACAUGGAGAUUGACGCUGAGGCACGAAAGCGUGGGGAGCAAACAGGA
This 253-nucleotide ribosomal RNA is filed under the name uncultured prokaryote. RNAcentral's name for it is "partial 16S ribosomal RNA". It matches the Rfam family "Bacterial small subunit ribosomal RNA", at positions 525 to 777 of the family's 1533-position model. The record is from RNAcentral.